Molecule: ribosomal RNA, 484 nt
Filed under: uncultured bacterium
Lineage: Bacteria
Description: bacterial SSU rRNA
Rfam family: Bacterial small subunit ribosomal RNA
Source: RNAcentral
AAUCAACGCUGGCGGCGUGCCUCAGACAUGCAAGUCGAACGAUUAAAGCUCUCUUCGGAGAGUGUAUAGAGUGGCGCACGGGUGAGUAACACGUAAGUAAUCUACCUUUGAGUGGGGAAUAACCCGGGGAAACCCGAGCUAAUACCGCAUAAUGCAGCGGCAUCGCAAGAUGACAGUUGUUAAAGGAGCAAUCCGCUUAAAGAGGAGCUUGCGGCAGAUUAGCUAGUUGGUAAGGUAAUGGCUUACCAAGGCUACGAUCUGUAUCCGGUCUAAGAGGACGGUCGGACACACUGACACUGAAUAACGGGUCAGACUCCUACGGGAGGCAGCAGUCGGGAAUUUUGGGCAAUGGGCGAAAGCCUGACCCAGCAACGCCGCGUGAAGGAUGAAGUAUUUCGGUAUGUAAACUUCGAAAGAAUAGGAAGAAUAAAUGACGGUACUAUUUAUAAGGUCCGGCUAACUACGUGCCAGCAGCCGCAGUAAG